UGGGGAAUUUUGGACAAUGGGCGCAAGCCUGAUCCAGCAAUGCCGCGUGCAGGAUGAAGGCCUUCGGGUUGUAAACCGCUUUUGUCAGGGAAGAAACGAGUUUCUCUAAUACAGAGACUUAAUGACGGUACCUGAAGAAUAAGCACCGGCUAACUACGUGCCAGCAGCCGCGGUAAUACGUAGGGUGCAAGCGUUAAUCGGAAUUACUGGGCGUAAAGCGUGCGCAGGCGAUUAUGCAAGACAGAGGUGAAAUCCCCGGGCUCAACCUGGGAACUGCCUUUGUGACUGCAUCACUCGAGUACGGCAGAGGGAGGUGGAAUUCCGCGUGUAGCAGUGAAAUGCGUAGAUAUGCGGGGGAACACCGAUGGCGAAGGCAAUCCCCUGGGCCUGUACUGACGCUCAUGCACGAAAGCGUGGGGAGCAAACA
RNAcentral lists this ribosomal RNA (427 nucleotides) under uncultured bacterium. RNAcentral's name for it is "bacterial SSU rRNA". It matches the Rfam family "Bacterial small subunit ribosomal RNA", at positions 355 to 774 of the family's 1533-position model. The record is from RNAcentral.